AUGAAAGUAGCUUUGAUGGAAAUGUCUCUAGGAUUGAGGAGAAGAGUUGCUAGUUUAUUACCAUCAUCCAAAAAAGAUCUAGAGAAAAGCCAAUUAAAUUCAAAGAAGACGGGCGCCAAAUCCCGCAAAGGGAAAGAAAACCGAGGAGCAAAAAUCGGGGUGUUACAAAUGCAUGACUUGCACAAUUUCCUAAAUGUUCUGCAUAGAUCUCCUACUUGGAACGCUCCACAUUGUAACUAUGUUGCCUAUGGCCAUGGAUACAACGUGUGCUACACCUUGCAUAUGACACCUAUCCUAAAUGGACCAAAUGUGGGAAGACAAUUCAACUUCCAUAAGGUAACAAGAACUCUCACUUUGCAAUGUGCUAAGAAUCCAUGA
This 378-nucleotide ribosomal RNA is filed under the name Triticum aestivum (bread wheat). RNAcentral describes it as "partial small subunit ribosomal RNA". Lineage: Eukaryota; Viridiplantae; Streptophyta; Magnoliopsida; Poales; Poaceae. The record is from RNAcentral.